RNAcentral lists this long non-coding RNA (286 nucleotides) under Brassica napus (rape). Its description in RNAcentral is "long non-coding RNA (BNAP_LNC014913)". Lineage: Eukaryota; Viridiplantae; Streptophyta; Magnoliopsida; Brassicales; Brassicaceae. The record is from RNAcentral.
GGUCUGUGAACAGUGGAAACAACCGACACUUACUGCGCUUGUUUAAGCGCUGCUGCUUCCAUUUUUUUAUUUUUUUUUAAAAAGGUUAAGAACCGGGGUAAGCACCCCGGUUAAUGGUGGCCUAAGAGCAUCAGACAUGAUUAACCCAGACUCUUAAUUUGAGGUUUUUAACUCAUGAUUUGACAUUUUUUGUUUUAUUUUUUUUAUUUUUUUUACACUUUUCGGCUAAGAACCGGCUCUUAUAGCAUGAUUAUCCCAUAAACCCAUUUGGGGUUCUUAAUUUUUU